UACGGGGGGGGCAAGCGUUGUUCGGAAUUACUGGGCGUAAAGGGCUCGUAGGCGGCCAACUAAGUCAUACGUGAAAUCCCUCGGCUUAACCGGGGAACUGCGUCUGAUACUGGAUGGCUUGAGAUUGGGAGAGGGAUGCGGAAUUCCAGGUGUAGCGGUGAAAUGCGUAGAUAUCGGGAAGAACACCCGUGGCGAAGGCGGUUCUCUGGGACGGUACUGACGCUGAGACGCGAAAGCGUGGGGAGCGAACAGG
This 253-nucleotide ribosomal RNA is filed under the name uncultured bacterium. Its description in RNAcentral is "partial 16S ribosomal RNA". It matches the Rfam family "Bacterial small subunit ribosomal RNA", at positions 524 to 776 of the family's 1533-position model. The record is from RNAcentral.